CAGACCUGAUCACCAUCCGCAACUUUUCAGAAAAUAACCAGACAAAUCAAAUUCUUUUAUCUGGAUCUUACAUCUGGAUUGGUCUGUUCCUGGACUCUUGGGAAUGGUCUGAUAAAUGGAGUCGCUCCUUCAGACACUGGGCAGCAGAUCAACCAUCCCAGAGUUCAGGAUCUGGUGACUGUGUUGGCAUGUCAAGAGCCAAUUCUGGGAAAUGGGCUCAAUACAGCUGUGAUCUAAAGCUGCCUUUUAUCUGCCAUGGGGAUGACAAGAGAAAACAAAUUGUGAGACUGAAAGUCACAUGUAAGGGAAUAUGUGCAUUGAAUGAUCCUUCACUACAGACGGCCAUUAUGAAUGAGAUAAGUGAAAAACUGAAGAACAUGAUGUUGGAGAGUGACAGCAAAAUAAGCUGGAGAAAGUGGGAAGAUGGAGAGAUGUUUCAUCUGGAGAAAAAUCAUACAGUUAAUUUAGAUAAUAAAUAGGCAUCUGUAAUGUACUUUUAAAAACUUAAACAGUUUAAAAAUGUUGAGUAAUGUUAUUGUUUUAAAGAACUGGAAAAUUGAAGUACA
This is a long non-coding RNA of Carassius auratus (goldfish), 566 nucleotides long. RefSeq lists it as uncharacterized. NCBI's taxonomy places the organism in Eukaryota, Metazoa, Chordata, Actinopteri, Cypriniformes, Cyprinidae. The transcript has 3 exons. The record is from RefSeq and is a predicted model, not a curated record.